AUCCUAUAAUUUUUGAUUCAUAUGGAUAGUUUGUAAAACUAUUAUAUGUAUAAAUAUUAUAGCACCUUAACUGAAUUGAUCAAUAUACUGGUAACUAAAGAACUUUGAAAAGUUUGAAGGAACAUACCUGGAGAACCUAAAGAAAUAUUGAUAUACCUUUGGAAGGUAUGUCGAAUUGCUCAAAUUUGAUCUUACGAUUUUUUCUUUUUCAAUAGACUCUGGUACAUAUUACACACUUUAGUAUAGGAUCUAAGGAAGGAAGAGGACUGAGAAAAGGUGAAGUGACUCUUUUGAGUCAGCAAUGAUGCAAAAAUUGCAUUGAGGCCGUGGGCACCUAACCUUGGUGAUUAUCGUUUGGAUUUAGUUCUUUAUCAUUUGCAUGGUGAUACAUUUUAUGAAAAUUAUUUGAGCAAAAUAGUGAAUGCCAUUGGGUCUGAGAGAUCCAGAAUCAAAUAACCUGAAGUAUAUAGAUGGUUCUUUUGG
RNAcentral lists this long non-coding RNA (483 nucleotides) under Elaeis guineensis (African oil palm). Its description in RNAcentral is "long non-coding RNA (EGUI_LNC053013)". The record is from RNAcentral. Lineage: Eukaryota; Viridiplantae; Streptophyta; Magnoliopsida; Arecales; Arecaceae.